This 475-nucleotide ribosomal RNA is filed under the name uncultured bacterium. RNAcentral's name for it is "partial 16S ribosomal RNA". It matches the Rfam family "Bacterial small subunit ribosomal RNA", at positions 29 to 523 of the family's 1533-position model. The record is from RNAcentral.
AGUGAACGCUGGCGGCGUGCCUAACACAUGCAAGUCGAACGAUGAAGAGCAGCUUGCUGCUCGGAUUAGUGGCGCACGGGUGAGUAACGCAUAGGUAAUGUGCCCCUUAGUCUGGGAUAGCCACUGGAAACGGUGAUUAAUACUAGAUACUCCUUCUUACUAUAAGGUGAGUCGGGAAAGUUUUUCGCUAAGGGAUCAGCCUAUGUCCUAUCAGCUUGUUGGUGAGGUAACGGCUCACCAAGGCUAUGACGGGUAUCUGGUUUGAGAGGAUGAUCAGACACACUGGAACUGAGACACGGUCCAGACUCCUACGGGAGGCAGCAGUGAGGAAUAUUGCACAAUGGAGGAAACUCUGAUGCAGCAACGCCGCGUGGAGGAUGACGCAUUUCGGUGUGUAAACUCCUUUUAAGAGGGAAGAUUAUGACGGUACCUCUUGAAUAAGCACCGGCUAACUCCGUGCCAGCAGCCGCGGUAA